AAGGGCAAAGGGGUAGGAUUACAAAGGAACAGGUGAGUGUAACUCAGCCUCAGCAGGUGACAUCUACUCCUGGAGCCAUGCUUUGUUAUCUGAGCUGGGUAACACCCAAGUCACUGUGACCUGGCCCUGCUGUGCCAGACUGAAGGCAGUAAUUGUUCAGAACUCAGUGCGUCAGGACUUAAAGGUGUCUGCAUCCAGGGCAGCUCCCGACAAUCUUCCAAAUUGCCUGGUAUCCUCAAGCAGAGGCAGAUCAUAUGCAGGCACCGUGGUUCCACGGCCUAUGACCCAUGGUGCUCUGGCUAGGGAGGGCUGUGGAUUCCUUGGUCAGUCACUCUCACUAUUCUCUGAGCUUAGAUCCCCCAAAUUGCUGCGGAAACCACACAUUUCCAAGCAAAACCAUUUUUUAAAAAAAUAUUUUUGAGUCUCUUUUUUUUCGGGCACGUGCACCCAUCUCCCGCAUGCUUAGGAAUCCUCAUCAGACGAUGAAACUCAACCUGUCUUCUGCAGCGGGCCACCCCCAAGGCCAGCAGUCCACCGCUCCGGCCUCCUUCUCUCUGUGGUGCUUUGGGCUUGCACGAUGGAGCACGGGCAUGGGGCUGGCUACAGGAGCCUGCCUGACACUGGUUAAAGUAUCUGCUGGAAAAUUUACUUUGCAAUUUCCUGAGCUUUCAGGGUCAGAAGUGGGUAGAAACCCCAGAUGGGAGGAAAAUCUAUUCACUUUCAAGUGGGAGGAAAAUAAGAAGCAGAUAGGCUUGAGUGGGGGCAGGCUGUACCUUCUGAGCUCAGGCUUUCUUAGGAAGCAGACACUCACCUUCUCCUGAGAUGAUUGUCUUAUUCCAAACAGGACCACCCAGGUAGGGGGGAGUGGUAUUCAAAUUCCCCCUCCCCUAACAUUGCUCGGAGAAGGGAAUGGAACCCUUUAGGUGGGCUCUGCAUUAGUGUCUUUGACCAUCUUCAUCAGUUUUAUUCACUGAUAUGUUUUCAGUACCUGGAACAGCGCCCAACACACAGUAGGUGCUUAGCGAAUAUUUGUUCAGUGUAAAAAUGACUAUUUCUGUUGCCUGAGUUCUCUCUAAAAAUUCCUGUCAACUAGCUGACUCUGCAUCAAUGCCCAAAAUGGAGGUUAAAAAAUAGGGAAGGAAGCUUUGAUCUCUGGACAGAAUUGAAGAGAAAAAUAAACUGGGGUGUCUGGAAGAAUAGGCGAGAGUCAAUGUGGCUGUGCGGGUUGUUUGGGGGAUUUCCCGUAGAGCGUCUGACAGGGGACAGGCAAGGGUCAGGAGUUUUCCCCCCGCAGCCUUUGAAGUUGACAUCUCUCUCUGAACUCUGUCCUCAGAGAAGAUUUUGCACUUUUUGCUUCAAAGCCAAAGCUUUCAUCCUAAGGUAGACGGUCUCCUCUCUCUUCUCUUCCACGUGUGCUACUUCUGUUCUCUCCAUUUUCCUUACCCUACAAUUCUCCUUAAUUACUAGUUCCAGUCCUCGGCAGGAAGACUGGGUCUUUGCAAAAAUAAAAUCCAUUUUCUAAGUUCUUCCUUAUCACGUUCACAUGUCCACAGUUUUCAUGAGCCAGAACAUGACUCAAGCUGGGAAGUCAGAACCGUGACUUUCAAAAAAAAAAAUGCAUAGCAUCUGCUUAACUCAAAACUCGGUCUGACUCUGCAACCAGGGCCUGGAGAUAGUUGGGAGAAUUUAUGUUCCCCUUCUGGCAGCUGCAAUUUGUCACUCCUGUUAGCACCUGGAGUAGGUAAUAACUCUGCUAAUGAUCUGAGGGGUUGCAUCUCCCAAUUAGCAUGUGAGGCUUAAAGAUCACUUCUCACCUUAAAAGUAUCCCGUGGCUUCUCUCCCUCUAUGCAUACUUAGAGGAUGCAUCACGUAUUUGCACAAAGUUUGAUUUCUUUAGCUAGAGAAAGAACUGGGAACGCAGAGAUGACUUCCUGGUAUCUUCUGCAGCUCUCUGCACUGACCAUACAGAUCCUCUGGGUGUUUAGCCCUGGGUGGCAAAUCAGGGCUUCAGAGCCACAAACAAGGCAAAGGGGAAGAGACGAGGGGAGGGGGAACUGGAGGAAAAAAAUCUACAAGAGGAGGAAGGAGGUGAGGUGGGGACAUGCAUCAGCCAGCUCAGUUGUCUUCUGUGUGUCAGCUUCAGGAUGCUGCCCUGUCCUCCGAAGACCUCCACUGCUGGCCCUGGGUGAUUCUAUCCUCAUACUUGAAAAGACACUGGUUGGCUAGUGUCUGUUCCCUGUCUUAUUGGAGUGUUCCUGGGGUUCAAGUGUGUACCUCACUGGGCUGGGAGACGAGGUCCAGGAUGGAAAAGCCCAACUCUGCAGAAACGGUGACAAUAAAUUGGUCACAGUCCACUGUGGCCCAAUGAUGGAUAUCACCUAAAUAUGAAAAUCAGUUUCUGAGCCAGAAGUUCAGUUGCAGCUCUGCAGAUUUCUUUUUACAACCGUUGAACAACAUAUAUGUACUAGUCUUGUCUUAUGACGUCAGUUCUGCCCUGGCCCAGCUUCAGAGCUCCAUUUCAUAAGCCCAAAGGAUGCCUGUAAGUACACUGGGCCUGGGUCUGUGGCUGUUAUGGUUCAUAUCUAGAAUAUUCCUCCCCAAACUUAUGUGUUAGGAAAUGCAGCAACAUUCAGAAACAAAAAGGUUGGACCAUGAAGUUUAUAACCUCAUUAGUGGAUUAAUCCACUUGAUGGAUUAAUAAUUCAAAUGAACCACUGGGUGGUAGCUGGAGGCAGGUGGGGUGUGGCUGGAGGAAGGAGGUCACUGGAGACAUGGCCUUGGGGACUAUGUCUGUCCCUGGCCCCUUCUUCUCUCUCUCUCUGCCUCUUGGCCGCCAUAAACUGAGCAGCCUUUCCCACCCUGCCUUCCUGCCAUGAUGUUUCUGCAGUGGAGUCACCAACUGUGGACUGAGAACUCUAAAACCAUGAGCCAAAGUAAAUCUUCCCUCCUCUCAGUUGUUCUUGACCGGCAUUUUGGUCGCAGCAACCAAAAGUGGCCCGGGUUGGCCUUACCUUUUGCAUCUUUCUGAGGUUCUGUUUUGCUGGGAGAAGGACCUUCCUCGGGAGCCUGUUCUCCUGUCUCCUUUGCUCUGUUCUCAGUGCCCGGGGCUCCCUCCUCCUUCUGCAGUGACCGACCGUGGGGCGGGUGCUGGUCUUCAGGUGGGUCUUCUUGCUUCUUGUUCUUCCUCUUCCUCUCACAGGGAACUCUAAACAGAGAAGGAAUCCACCAUUAGUUCUGAGGGUCUGAAGAAUGGAACAGUCCCCAAAUGAGUGGCCAGCAUGUGGCCGUGAGAACAAGGGGUUGCACUGGAGUCCAGCUUCAUGAAGAAUGAUUUAACCUGGAUGAAAAGAAGUUGAUGCUCUCGGUAGACUCUUUCCUUCUUUUCUUCUUUCCUCCUUCCUUCCUUCCUUCCUUCCUUCCUUCCUUCCUUCCUUCCUUCUUUCUUUCUUUCUUUCUUUCCACAAUUAGGAGAAGAGUGUGACCGUGUUCUCCAGAGCAGUCAGAUAGGUGACCCACACUAAGGCCUCCGGUGGGGACACCAUGCUUUUUGUUCUGUGGGUAGAGCAACAUCUGCAGGUGAGAUUCUGCCCCCACCCUACAUUAUGUCAAUUAUUAUUAUUUUUUGACUUAUGACACAGUUCCUCAGGGACUCUCAAGCACCCAGGUCUUCUCCCCUCCAAGUCCUCCUGAUCCGAACCUGCUCACUUCUGCACCGUCUUCACUCCUUCCCCUAGCACUGAUACACCAGAAGAACCACCCGAGCCUGGAAAAUGCCUCAGGCUCUCAGGCUUCUGGGACUUGGCCUGGGUCCCUCCCUCUGGUGGGAAUGCAGCACUUCCCCAUCCUCCUGAGAAUGUCCACUUGUCACUUCCUUCAGGGCUCUGUCCAUGAUAACCCCUGACUCCCACCUGCGAACAUAGCCCUGUCCUUCCUCUGGAUCCUAGAGCCGGGCAAAUACAUUCAUUUUAUUAAUGAUCAGUUGUGCUUCAAGGGUCCGUUCUCACGCCACCUUCUGCUAUAAGAAAAGUAUGUGCUCCUCGAGGUCAGGCAUUCUGGCCACCUGUUGAACAGUGGUCUCUAACAUGCAGCACUGGAUCGUGCAAGAGGCAGAUGCCCUGCCCCUAUUUGAUGGGUGGACGGCAAAACACUGGGUGAAGACAGAGAGGAACAAAAAUGGCAGAUUCAAAAUAUCAACUAAGGGGAAGGGAAAGUCUGGAUGCCUUUUGAUCAAUCCCAGUGUUAUGGUUUAAGUAGGAAGUAUCUCCCAAAAGUUCAGGUGUGAGGCAAUGCAAGAAAGUUGAGAGGUGAAAUGAUUGGGUUAUGAGAGCCCUAACUAAUCAAAAAGUCAAUCUGCUGUAGGGAUUAACUGGGUGGUCACCUGGGCCGGUAGGGUGUGGUUGGGGGAGGUAGGUCACCAGGUGCAUGCCUUUGGGACAUAUAUUUUGACUUGGUGAGCAGAACUCUCUGCCCCCAUUUCUGGAUUGCCAUAUCCUGAGCUGCUUCCUCUCUAGACCCUUCCCCAUGCCCUUCUGCCUCUGUGCUCUGCCUCAUCUUGGGCACAGAGGAAUGAAGUGGGCCAUCUAUGGACUGAGACCCCAGAAACUGUGAGCUCCAUAUAAAGUUUUCCUCCGCUAAUUGUUCUUUUCAGGUCUUUUGGUUACCAUAGUGAACAGCUGACUAAAACACCCAGAAUAUUAACUAUGGGGGAGGACAGUCUGGGGGAGCGUUUUAGUCAGCCCCAAAUUCACAGUGGUGACGAGAAGGUCCUGUAAAGGCUGGGCCUGGGAUUGGUUAACAGUGUCCUGGGAUCAGUUAAGGGCUCAGAGAGCAGGACACGGCUUGGCUUUGGCAUUGUGGCUCUUCUCUCUGCAGAAGUACUAGGGGUAACAUCUAAGAUGGGUUUAAUUUUUUUUUCCUCAAAAAAACAAAAGAAAUUUAAUCUGAAAACCAGCAUCCUAAAGGCAGUCAUUAGAAGGUAAUGGUUAAAGAUUUAGAAAUAACAGAGUCCCUACUGGACCCUUAAUGGGAACAUCAGUCAUUGAAUUAUCUUCAUAGAUAUUGGACAGAAUUCUGAAAUUUUCUUCAUGCCAUCCAGAUUUAAAAAAAAAAAAAAAGAGAGAGUCUCAUUUUUCUUUUAUGACCUUGAGCUUGGUUUCUGAAGUUGUGGUUCGUGAAACCUCCGUCUACUUCUCUUGCUCCUCUCAAAAGACCCAGCUUAAGGCAUUAAUGAGCCUCACAGUGAUGUGUAGCUGGGCAGAUUUUUAGGCCAACAAAAUUCUUAAGCUUGGAAAAACAUCUGCUCUCUCCAUUCAUUAAUUUCCUCCAAGUUUUCCAGCAAGUGGUGAAUUUGACAACCCCAAGGCACAUUUUGGCACUUUAAGGAAAUCUAUAUUCAAUGAGCGUGUUAUUAUACAUUUCCCUAGUGCCCUCUUCAAGGAUCUGAAAGUGUCUUGCUCACUUUGGGAUUCUGGUCUAUAAAGCUGUGGCUCAGCAUUACCAGCUCCCUCCUGAAUCUGGCAGAUAUGCAAAUGAGCCCACAGGACUCAAUUAAGCCAGGCCUUGUCAAGAUGGACCGGGCAUCCAGUGCCUUUCACCAGGACAAAUUCUGAUGCUUAGAAAUUAUACUCAUAAAAUUUUUAAAAGACAAUUUUUUUUUUAAAAAGGCCCUGAGUCAAGAAACCAGGAAGGAACUGACCAGAUUUUCAUCUGUUUCAAAUUAAACGUGUUUAUUACCUUCGCAUCCCCCUUCCCAGCUCCAUGUAAUCAGUUAGAAAAUAUCUUCCGUUAAUCUUAACAGAAAGCAUAUUUUUUUCGUUAAGUUUAUCUGGCCGCUUGCUCUCAUGCACAGGGCGGCGACACCUCUUGUUUUGACUCUGAUGUGUGCUUUAUUGGAGGCAUCACUUGGUGACUGUGGGCUCCAGUCACUCAAUAUUUAUUUUUGCCAUUAUGUCUCAGGAUCUCUGCUAGAUGUUUUGAGCACAGUAGGAAAAAGACAGUAAAUAUAAAAGUCGCGUAAUUGUAGUUCAUGGAAGGUUCCAGAAAGGAAAGAAAGAAGGGAGGGCAGGACAGGGAGUAGCUGUCAAGGACCACCUUUAGUCUGGGUGGUCAGAAAAGGCUCUUAGAGGGGGAACAUGGAGCUGAGACCUGGAGAAUAAGAAUGAACCACUGAGAGUAGCUGGGGAUGGGGUGUUCCUGCAGAGGAAGAGGCAGCUGUCAUGGUUUUGAUGCGGUCAAAGCGCUUGCAAUAUUUGAGGAUGAGAAAAAGCCAGUGGGGUCAGAGUGGACAGAGGGUGGGAGACGUGGCAUGAGGUGAGCCUGCACAGAAGCCUGAUCCAGGCUAGGAGGUCGCGUCGAAAGUGUCUGUGAUUUUUGACUUUGUCCUAAAAGCAGUAGGAGCCGGGGGUGGGGGGUGGUAGAGAGUUGGAGGGUAAUGUCAUUUUAUGAAAAUUUGCAUUUUAUGAAAAUCAGGCUUUCCAGAGGCUGGGGUAGGAGCUGGUUGUCUGGGUGCAGGAUGGAGCAGUGGUUGGUGCUGGUAGAGCAUCACUGGAGAGGAGAGAGGGAGAGUUGGAGGGAGGGAGGGGUGGAAAGAGGUUUUUAGGGCACCACUGACAAACAAGGGUUGCUGACACGUUGGCUUGAGGGGCUAGGGAGGGGGAGACGAGGGAGCUGCUAGUGUUUUGGCAUGAACUAGGGUGUGGAUGAUGGAUGGGCGGGGGUCCCGGGGAAGGAAGGGCUGUUUGGUGGGAGGGUGGUGAAAGGAAACCCAUCUUGGAAACAUUAACUGGGGAGACCUGUUCCUAAGCACUCCGUAGAAGCAAAGAAGUCUUUUGGCAAAACAUCACUUGAAAGUUAACCCUUCUAAUUUAUGCCUCUAGACCUCUCAAAAAUCACAAUAGGAACAUUUGAAAGAACAUGCAGUAGAGCUUGAAACAGCCAGCGUUUGGGAAACUGGAGACAAUUUUAGGGUUGGCAAUAAAUCCAGCAAAUGACAUCGCACAUGGAAAUAUGUAAUCACAGAUUUUUCUCCUCGGCCGGCCACUUCUUCUCCGGCCAGACUUGGUGACCAUAUUACAAAUAACAUGCUAGUUGACAUGUGGGAGCUGGAAGGCUGCUUGUGCUGAGGGGGUGGCUAAAACAUCCAGAAAGAGGAUGGGGGUUAUGAUUCAAAGAGAGAAGGAUGGACUUGUGCUCAGAAGACGAUAAGAUCUACUUAUUGAAGAUUGUCCUUCGCAUUCUAAGGAGGGCAGCUCAUUUUUAAAAAGCUACUCUUUAACAUGACGUUCUCUCUGUAAAUCAAAAUAAAAAUAGCUGGGGCCCCCUGUAGCUCUUUCUACAGCCGAUUUGUUUCUGCAGAUCCUGUUUGUUUUUCCACAGGCCUGCCCUGCUCUUUGCUUGGCUUAUCUCUUCUUCUGUUUGGGGCUCUUAGGAAGCAUAAUGGUCCGAUGAUCGGUUAGCAUUCUGCAAAGAGAAAUGCGUUAUUUGGACCUCAUCACUGAGACUUGAUGUGGAAGAACAGAUUUUUCCCAGUGAGUUUUUGAUUUGUGCAUCUAGAAUCUCAAGGUCCUGCUGGGUGAAAGUCCUCUGCCAUUGGUAGAAAAAGCUUACAUUUUGGAGUCAGAGAGGCCUGAGUUCAGUCCUCAGCUCUGCUAUUUUCUAUUUUGUAACUUAAACCUUGUGACGUCAUGUCUUUGACCUCAGUGGAUAAUUAUACAUCUGUAAAUUUCAGGCUUGUUGUGAAGAAGAUAUCACACAUGUCAGGUUCUUAGCAUGGUACUUAAUCCAUGCUGGUAAUCCAAAUGGUUUAUAUCAUGUCAUUAUCAUCAGGCUUGCAAACAGAGGGUUGUUGGUUUGACAGGGGACGCCAAUUCUGGGCUGGCAACCCUGGGAAGGGGUGGAGGGUGUUGGAAGGAUGCGGUGGGUUUUGGACCUGUUAUAAUCUAGCAAAGGUUGCAAAAUGGAAACUCCUGGGGUGUUGACUUUCACUCACUCAUUUUUCAAACAGAACUAAAAACAUAAAAUGAACAGAAUUUAAAAUGGAAAAAUAUCAUAUGCAACGUGGAUUGGCAGCUUCUCUUGUAACAUCCGUUCAAUAAAAACAGGAUUCCCACCAUUCCAGAUGAUGACCCUCAAAAGAAACCUCCAAGACAAGAUGUUACCAGCUCAGGACUCCCUUCCCUGGCUCCCAAACUUCCAAGAAAAACGGAACACAAAUCCUAUAGGAUCACUGCUAAAAAAACAGAAGUGAAAACACCACACAACCCAUCCGUAAAAUGGAGAUGGCAAUAAUGUUUAUCCCCACAGAAGGUCCUUUUGAGGAUUAAAUGACAUCAAAAAAAAACAUUCCCCACACUCAGAGACAAAAAAAAAAAAAAACACAGCAAGCAACGGUCCACGAUCAUCGAGCCACUCCCCGAAUUAGUAAAAUUGAACUGGAACACACAACAACCUGGGCAACUGUUUGCAAACAAAAAAAACAAGAACGCAUUCUUCUGGGGCAGGAAGAGAUGACUUGGACCAUGUGGUAUCAGCAGAUGGAGACUGGGACAUUCAGGCCAAAAAGACUGACAACUGUGUAACCAGGAACAGGACAGGAGGGAGAAAAAAAAAAAAUGGCUCCUAAGGUCAAUGCGAGGAGCAACCAGAAUCACGGAGGUGCUGUUUACUGAGACGUGUUGGAUGAGCAUUUAAUUCAUGGUCCACAUUACAGACAGCCCUCUGUAUACAAACGUUCCCAACCUACAAAUUCAACCAACCGCAGACUGAAAUAUUUGGGAGAAAAACUGAGUUUUCAGUUGCACUGAACUAAGUAUCAUAAGUACUCUAGAGAUGAUUUAAAAUACACGGGAAGAUAUGUGUAGUUCCCACAAAAACAAUGGUGCUCUAUAUCACGGACUUAAAUGUAUGUAUAUUCUGGUACCCCUAAGGUGACCCAGGAACACCUAGAUAGGCACUGAUAGAAAUAAAACCGGUAAAGACAGACAAAUGUUACCAGUAUAUAAUAGUUUUGAAAAAUAGCGUAGUUUUUCUUUUUCAUACUUGCUUGUACUUGACCCCCCUGUUCCUUUCCCUUCCAGGGAAGUGUUUGACAGGGCACCUUCUGUUUGCCUCCUGGUGCUGACACGUUUGGAUCAUGUCAGUGGCUCACUGGCCUCUGGCGUCCGGUUGGGUUAGGCCGAUGGACAGCUUCAUCAGGAAGGCAAAAGGAGGAAGGAUGACUGACACUGACCAGAGAUUAACCUAACAAAAGAGGUGAAGAAUGUGUACAAUGACAACUACAAAACACUAAAGAAAGAAAUUAAAGAAGACCUAAGAAGAUGGAAAGACCUCCCAUGUUCUUAGAUAGGUAGAAUUAAUAUUGUCAAAAUGGCCAUACUUCCAAAAGCACUAUACGAAUUCAAUGCAAUUCCCAUCAAAAUUUCAAUGUAGAAAUUGCAUUUCUCUAAUUCCAAUUAGAGAAAUGCAAAAAGAAAUAGAAAAAGCUGUCAUGAAAUUCAUUUGAGAAAAUGACAGGCCCAGAAUAGUCAAAUAAUCCUUAGAAGAAAAACAAAAAAAGAAGCUGUAGGUAUCACAAUACCAGACCUUAAAUUAUACUGCCGCAGUCAGGCUGCAGCAAAAUAACCGGGGGGUGACGAACAACUUGUGUACAUUGAUACAGCAGGAGUGGGAGCCGUUUAUUGUAGGACAGGAGGGGUAUAUAUACAUUCCACACAGCUUAUCUAAUUAACAUAAACUAGAUACAGGAGUCAACCAAUAAGGAAUCUCCACACUUAAUGGCUCGCUGGAGUUACUUCACAAACCACUCCCUCUCGCAAAAUGCCAGGCGCCAUCUUGACUCGUUUACAGACUCUAACAUUAUACUACAGAGCUAUAGUAACAAAGGCGGCAUUGUAUUGGCAUGAAAAUAGACUUGUAGACCAAUGGUACAGAACAGAGGACACAGAGACAAACCCACAUAAAUACGGUAAUCUCAUAUUAGACAAAGGACCAAAACUUUACACUGGAGAAAAGAUAGCUUCUUCAACAAGGUGCUGGGAAAAAAUGGAAAUCCAUAUGUAAUAGAAUGAAAGUUAACCCCUAUCUCUCACCUUGCACAAAAAUCAAUGUGAAGUGGAUCAAAGACCUAGAAAUUAGACCAGAAAUCCUGCACAUACUAGAAGAAAAUGUACACUCAACACUUCAACAUAGUGGAUCAGGAACUGACUUCCUUAACAAGACUUCUAAGGAGCAAGAAAUAAAAUCAAGAAUCAAUAAAUGGGGUGCAUUUAACUAAACAGCUUCUUCACAGCAAAGGAAACAAUCAAGAGUGUGAAGAGAGAGCCCAAAGAAUGGGAGAAAAAUUUUUGUCACCUGUACCUUAGGUGGGGCAUUAAUUUCCAGGAUAUACAAAGAAUUCAAGAAACUCAACACCAAAAAACCUCCAAUAACCCAAUCAAUAAGUGGACGAAGGAUCUGAAUAGACCCUUCUAAAAAGGAAAAAAAUAUGAAUCGAUAACAAAUAUAUGAAAACAUGUUCAACAUCUCUAGCAAUUAGAGAAAUGCAAAAUAAAACUACACUGAGAUUUCAUCUCGUUCUAGUCAGAAUGGUAACUACCAAUACAAGCAACAAUAAAUAUUGGCAAGGAAGUGGAGGGAAAAGGUAUGAUCAUACAUUGUUGGUGGGACUGCAGAUUGGUGCAAUCACUCUGGAAAGCAAUAUGGAGAGCCCUCAAAAAACUCAGAAUGGAGCCAUCAAUUUGAUCCAGUUAUCCCACUCUUCAGCAUGUAGCCAAAGAAUUUAAAAAUCAGCACACUAUAGUGAUGCAGCCACAUCAAUGUUUAUAGCAGCACAAUUCACAAUAGCUAAGCUAUGGAGGCAACCUAGGUGCCCUUCAACAGACGAAUGGAUAAAGAGAAUGCAGUACAUAUACACAGUGGAAUAUUACCCAGCCAUACAGAAGAACGACUUUAUGGCAUUUGCCAGUAAAUGAAUGGAACAUGCUAAAUAAAUAAGCCAAUCCCAAAUAAUCAAAGGUUGAAUGUUUUUGUUGAUAUGUGGAAGCUACAAUAAAGGAAAGAAGGAGAAGAAAAGUUCAGUAGACUAGACUAAGGGAAAUGAAGGGAAGGGAGGGAAGAUGGGAAUAGGAAAAGAGAUAGG
Molecule: long non-coding RNA, 11134 nt
Filed under: Marmota monax (woodchuck)
Lineage: Eukaryota; Metazoa; Chordata; Mammalia; Rodentia; Sciuridae
Source: RNAcentral